RNAcentral lists this ribosomal RNA (864 nucleotides) under uncultured bacterium. RNAcentral describes it as "bacterial SSU rRNA". It matches the Rfam family "Bacterial small subunit ribosomal RNA", at positions 524 to 1381 of the family's 1533-position model. The record is from RNAcentral.
GACAGAGGUGACAAGCGUUGUUCGGAAUUACUGGUCGUAAAGAGUCUGUAGGUGCUUUGCCAAGUCUUUGGUGAAAGGCCGUAGCUUAACUAUGGGAAUGCCAAAGAGACUGGCACGGCUGUAGGCUGUUAGAGGAAAGCGGAAUUUCUGGUGUAGCGGUGAAAUGCGUAGAUAUCAUAAGGAAGGCCGGAGGCGAAUGCGGCUUCCUGCAACAUCCCUGACACUGACAGACGAAAGCGUGGAGAGCAAACAGGAUUACAUACCCUGGUAGUCCACGCCCUAAACGAUGGGAACUAAGUGUGGAGGGAUUAAACCCUCCGUGCCGCAGCAAACGCAGUAUGUACCCCGCCUGGGGAGAACUGCCGCAAGGUUGAUACUCAAAGGAAUUGACGGGGGCCCGCACAAGCGGUGGUGCAUGUGGUUUAAUUGGACGCAACGCGAGGAACCUUACCUAGGCUUGACACGUGGUCAGUAGCGAACCGAAAGGGGAGCGACCCGUCAAAUCGGGCAAUCACACAGCUGCUGCAUGGCUGUCGUCAGCUCGUGCCGUGAGGUGUUGGGUUCACUACCGCAACGAGCGCAACCCUCGCCCUUGAUUACCAUCGGGUAAAGCCGGGCACUCUAAGGGGACUGCCAGCGACAAGUUGGAGGAAGGAGAGGAUGACGUCAAGUCAUCAUGGCCCUUAUGCCUAGGGCCACACACGUGCAACAAUGGCCGGUACAGACGGAGGCAAUGCCGAGAGGCGGAGCAAACCCGAGAAAACCGGUCCCAGUUCGGAUUGAGGUCUGCAACUCGACCUCAUGAAAUCGGAAUCGGUAGUAAUCGCAUAUCCAGAACGAUGCGGAGAAUACGUUCCCGGGCCU